Molecule: long non-coding RNA, 1003 nt
Organism: Canis lupus familiaris (dog)
Lineage: Eukaryota; Metazoa; Chordata; Mammalia; Carnivora; Canidae
Exons: 4
Source: RefSeq, a predicted model, not a curated record
CUCCUUGGUGUAAUGGGAAUAAAACAGGAAAAACUUUGGAGGGUUGUGAGAAUCCAUGUAAGCAACUCAGUCUGAUUUUUGGCUCACAGUCUCUGAGUCCUAAAAGUUGGCUGGGAAAACACUAACUAUGAAAUUAUUCAUGACAGCUAACAUUUCUGCUGCAUUUUGUAUGGCAUUUUCACCACACUGUAUUGUAUUUGAUUCUUGUAACAUCUCGUGAAGUGAGCUGGGAAGGUACUGAUACCCCACUGGAUAGAUCCGAAAUCCUAACUUCUAAGAGAUUUACUGACUUGUUGUUCAAGUUCACACAGAGAUCCCUCUCCAUUUGGGGCUUGAGAAGCUGAUCUACAAAUCCCUUCAUAUGCAAAAGAUGGACAAACGCUCCAAAAGAAGGUCUGAAUGGUAAUGGAGGUAGAACAAAAAUGGAAAUUUCUGGAUCUGUCAUCCAAAUAAAUAUUAGAAGCAAAAUGGCCAUUAUUAAACAGCCGAAAAAACUUCCCCCAAACAGGAUUGACAACAGCAAGCAUUCUGAAAGGGUCCUGAAUAAGAACGUGGCCGGCUUACUAAGGAUGAAGCAGUGUGCUCCCUCUGCCCUUACCUGAUUUCACACCACCAAUGAAUGAAUAUUCAUUUCUUCAUUUGUAGACAGACUCAAGCUCUGAAGAACCUCCCUGCCCAGCCCCCUAGACAAUAAGGACUCCAGACUCACAGCACUGUACCUGGCUCCCCAGCCACUGUGACCACUGCUAGUUUUAUGCAAAGACAGAGGCGCAAAGCCAACUGACAAUAAAAUGCUUGCUGUGAAAGAAUUCUGUGUAAAGAAUUUCUUCAUCAAGAGAGUGAUUUUAAUUUGACCAAAACUUUGCAGAUGACAAAAUGGGACUGAAAAUCUGUAGGCUUUGAAGCAGGAAGCCCAGAGUUCGAAUCCUGAUUUCAUAACUCCCAAAAUUGUGAAAUCUUGACCAAGUUUAGAGUUGUUUCCUGCAACAUAGGGAUAAGGAUA